RNAcentral lists this ribosomal RNA (255 nucleotides) under Clostridioides difficile. RNAcentral's name for it is "partial 23S ribosomal RNA". It matches the Rfam family "Bacterial large subunit ribosomal RNA", at positions 930 to 1184 of the family's 2925-position model. Lineage: Bacteria; Bacillati; Bacillota; Clostridia; Peptostreptococcales; Peptostreptococcaceae. The record is from RNAcentral.
UUGCACCUACCGAAGACUAUCAAACUCCGAAUGCCGUCAUCUUAUACUUGGGAGUCAGACUGUGGGUGAUAAGAUUCAUAGUCGAAAGGGCAACAGCCCAGAUCGUCAGCUAAGGUCCCUAAAUGUACGUUAAGUGGUAAAGGAUGUGGGAUUGCACAGACAACCAGGAUGUUGGCUUAGAAGCAGCCACUCAUUCAAAGAGUGCGUAAUAGCUCACUGGUCGAGUGAUCCUGCGCCGAAGAUUUCCGGGGCUAA